This 599-nucleotide long non-coding RNA is filed under the name Prunus dulcis (almond). RNAcentral's name for it is "sRNA ncRNA". The record is from RNAcentral. Lineage: Eukaryota; Viridiplantae; Streptophyta; Magnoliopsida; Rosales; Rosaceae.
UCUCCUCCAAGUUUAUAACACGUUAUCAGCACGAUUUCUCUAUCUCUAAAUUCAGAACCUCAACGCUCUCUCUCUCUCUUCCGAGUUUUUCUCAUCUAUGGAGAUGGGAUAUACAAGCUGCCAGUUUAUGCUUCCCUAUGAAAGUGGGAUACUGGGCUGCUCUUGCUCUAUCCUCAAAAUGAAGAGACGCUCCUCCUCCUCCUUCACCUUCAUGAUCUUCUUCUUCUCUCUUUAGUCCUUCUUCUCUUCCUCUUCCUGGAGAUGAUGAUGGUGAUGCUUCAGGACAAAUACGCCAACUUGCUCUGCUUCAUAAAGACUCAACCAGUCAAAAUUGAAGCCAACCCAUUCAAGGAAACUUGACUCAGCAGCCGCCAUGGCUGCUUCUGCUUCUGGGUUACAUCUCUCUUGGCUUUGACUUGGAGUAUUUUCAGAGGACGAGAUGAUGGAUGACAGGACCCGACCCAAUUUCCACUUUGGAAUUCGAGCCAAGUCCUGUACGUGUCCGACACCUGGCGAAUGUCGGGCACAAAUGACCUUUUUACCCUUCUUACUUCAAUUUCUCCUUAAAUUUUCCGUAGACUUCUGCCGAAAAUUCGGCA